This 253-nucleotide ribosomal RNA is filed under the name uncultured bacterium. RNAcentral describes it as "partial 16S ribosomal RNA". It matches the Rfam family "Bacterial small subunit ribosomal RNA", at positions 524 to 776 of the family's 1533-position model. The record is from RNAcentral.
UACGGAGGGUGCAAGCGUUAUCCGGAUUCACUGGGUUUAAAGGGUGCGUAGGCGGGCCGGUAAGUCAGUGGUGAAAUCCUGGGGCUUAACCCCAGAACUGCCGUUGAUACUAUCGGUCUUGAAUGUUGUGGAGGUGAGCGGAAUAUGUCAUGUAGCGGUGAAAUGCUUAGAGAUGACAUAGAACACCAAUUGCGAAGGCAGCUCACUACGCAACGAUUGACGCUGAGGCACGAAAGCGUGGGGAUCAAACAGG